UUGAUUUUAAUAGUGUGUGCAUAAGUUCUUUUAUUUUAACUUUAUCAUUUUAUUUAAAUUACUGCAUUAUAAGCAGGUAAGUUUGACUGGCGAUAGAAAUAAUGCUUGAUACCUUUCAGAUAGAUCGGACAAAGAAGAAGCAGGAAUGUUUGACUGGAAAAUAGCUUGGGCGAAAAAGAGAUUGGUGAAAUGGACAAUGAUGCUAACUGAGACAAAAACAAUAAUGAAUAUCAAAAUGUAAAUGGUAAUUUGUUUGACGUUUACCUGGUUUUAGAGAUACAGUUGGCGAUGCAAUCUCACUUGUAAAUCGUCUUGAUGUUUUUUUAACUUGAAUGAUGAUUCUUUUUAAUUUCUUGAAACUUGAAGUUAUUAAUUAUCAAA
Long non-coding RNA from Hydra vulgaris (swiftwater hydra), 381 nucleotides. RefSeq lists it as uncharacterized. NCBI's taxonomy places the organism in Eukaryota, Metazoa, Cnidaria, Hydrozoa, Anthoathecata, Hydridae. The record is from RefSeq and is a predicted model, not a curated record.